RNAcentral lists this ribosomal RNA (396 nucleotides) under uncultured bacterium. RNAcentral's name for it is "partial 16S ribosomal RNA". It matches the Rfam family "Bacterial small subunit ribosomal RNA", at positions 523 to 918 of the family's 1533-position model. The record is from RNAcentral.
AUACGUAGGGAGCGAGCGUUGUCCGGAAUUACUGGGUGUAAAGGGAGCGUAGGCGGGAGUGCAAGUCAGAUGUGAAAUACAUGGGCUCAACCCAUGGGCUGCAUUUGAAACUGCAUUUCUUGAGUGAAGUAGAGGUAAGCGGAAUUCCUGGUGUAGCGGUGAAAUGCGUAGAUAUCAGGAGGAACACCGGUGGCGAAGGCGGCUUACUGGGCUUUUACUGACGCUGAGGCUCGAAAGCGUGGGGAGCAAACAGGAUUAGAUACCCUGGUAGUCCACGCUGUAAACGAUGAUUACUAGGUGUGGGGGGACUGACCCCUUCCGUGCCGCAGUUAACACAAUAAGUAAUCCACCUGGGGAGUACGGCCGCAAGGUUGCAACUCAAAUGAAUUGGCGGGG